GAUGAACGCUGGCGGCGUGCCUAAUACAUGCAAGUCGAGCGAACAGACGAGGAGCUUGCUCCUCUGACGUUAGCGGCGGACGGGUGAGUAACACGUGGAUAACCUAUCUAUAAGACUGGGAUAACUUCGGGAAACCGGAGCUAAUACCGGAUAAUAUAUUGAACCGCAUGGUUCAAUAGUGAAAGACGGUUUUGCUGUCACUUAUAGAUGGAUCCGCGCCGCAUUAGCUAGUUGGUAAGGUAACGGCUUACCAAGGCAACGAUGCGUAGCCGACCUGAGAGGGUGAUCGGCCACACUGGAACUGAGACACGGUCCAGACUCCUACGGGAGGCAGCAGUAGGGAAUCUUCCGCAAUGGGCGAAAGCCUGACGGAGCAACGCCACGUGAGUGAUGAAGGUCUUCGGAUCGUAAAACUCUGUUAUUAGGGAAGAACAAAUGUGUAAGUAACUAUGCACGUCUUGACGGUACCUAAUCAGAAAGCCACGGCUAACUACGUG
RNAcentral lists this ribosomal RNA (497 nucleotides) under uncultured bacterium. Its description in RNAcentral is "partial 16S ribosomal RNA". It matches the Rfam family "Bacterial small subunit ribosomal RNA", at positions 28 to 507 of the family's 1533-position model. The record is from RNAcentral.